Molecule: microRNA precursor, 94 nt
Filed under: Branchiostoma floridae (Florida lancelet)
Lineage: Eukaryota; Metazoa; Chordata; Leptocardii; Amphioxiformes; Branchiostomatidae
Description: mir-2060 microRNA precursor family
Rfam family: mir-2060 microRNA precursor family
Source: Rfam by way of RNAcentral
ACUUGGCUGUGUGUGGAUGGUGUUCAGCACCAGGGACAGGUGUGUUUGCCAUUGUGUGGAUAGUAUUCAGCACCAGGGACAGGUGUGUUUGGCU